GAUGAAGAACGUAGCGAAAUGCGAUAAGUAAUGUGAAUUGCAGAAUUCAGUGAAUCAUCGAAUCUUUGAACGCACAUUGCGCCCUCUGGUAUUCCGGGGGGCAUGCCUGUUCGAGCGUCAUUAUAACCACUCAAGCUCUCGCUUGGUAUUGGAGUUCGCGAUCUCGCGGCUCCUAAAAUCAGUGGCGGUGCCUGUCGGCUCUACGCGUAGUAAUACUCCUCGCGAUUGAGUCCGGUAGGUUUACUUGCCAGCAACCCCCAAUUUUUACAGGUUGACCUCGGAUCAGGUAGGGAUACCCGCUGAACUUAAGCAUAUCAAUAAGCGGAGGGA
This 330-nucleotide unclassified non-coding RNA is filed under the name soil metagenome. RNAcentral describes it as "partial contains 5.8S ribosomal RNA, internal transcribed spacer 2, and large subunit ribosomal RNA". The stretch from base 1 to 120 matches the Rfam family "5.8S ribosomal RNA", at positions 35 to 154 of the family's 154-position model. The record is from RNAcentral.